This 637-nucleotide ribosomal RNA is filed under the name uncultured bacterium. Its description in RNAcentral is "bacterial SSU rRNA". It matches the Rfam family "Bacterial small subunit ribosomal RNA", at positions 788 to 1425 of the family's 1533-position model. The record is from RNAcentral.
UGGUAGUNCACGCCGUAAACGAUGAGUGCUAGGUGUUAGGCCCUUUCCGGGGCUUAGUGCCGGAGCUAACGCAAUAAGCACUCCGCCUGGGGAGUACGACCGCAAGGUUGAAACUCAAAGGAAUUGACGGGGGCCCGCACAAGCGGUGGAGCAUGUGGUUUAAUUCGAAGCAACGCGAAGAACCUUACCAGGUCUUGACAUCCCGAUGCUAUUCUUAGAGAUAGGAAGUUACUUCGGUACAUCGGAGACAGGUGGUGCAUGGUUGUCGUCAGCUCGUGUCGUGAGAUGUUGGGUUAAGUCCCGCAACGAGCGCAACCCUUAUUGUUAGUUGCCAUCAUUAAGUUGGGCACUCUAGCGAGACUGCCGGUAAUAAACCGGAGGAAGGUGGGGAUGACGUCAAAUCAUCAUGCCCCUUAAGACCUGGGCUACACACGUGCUACAAUGGUCGGUACAACGAGUUGCGAGCCGGUGACGGCAAGCUAAUCUCUGAAAGCCGAUCUCAGUUCGGAUUGGAGGCUGCAACUCGCCUCCAUGAAGUCGGAAUCGCUAGUAAUCGCGGAUCAGCACGCCGCGGUGAAUACGUUCCCGGGCCUUGUACACACCGCCCGUCACACCACGAGAGUUUGUAACACCCGAA